This 615-nucleotide ribosomal RNA is filed under the name Saccharomyces bayanus x Saccharomyces cerevisiae. RNAcentral describes it as "eukaryotic LSU rRNA". It matches the Rfam family "Eukaryotic large subunit ribosomal RNA", at positions 38 to 667 of the family's 3401-position model. Lineage: Eukaryota; Fungi; Ascomycota; Saccharomycetes; Saccharomycetales; Saccharomycetaceae. The record is from RNAcentral.
GCAUAUCAAUAAGCGGAGGAAAAGAAACCAACCGGGAUUGCCUUAGUAACGGCGAGUGGAGCGGCAAAAGCUCAAAUUUGAAAUCUGGUACCUUCGGUGCCCGAGUUGUAAUUUGGAGAGGGCAACUUUGGGGCCGUUCCUUGUCUAUGUUCCUUGGAACAGGACGUCAUAGAGGGUGAGAAUCCCGUGUGGCGAGGAGUGCGGUUCUUUGUAAAGUGCCUUCGAAGAGUCGAGUUGUUUGGGAAUGCAGCUCUAAGUGGGUGGUAAAUUCCAUCUAAAGCUAAAUAUUGGCGAGAGACCGAUAGCGAACAAGUACAGUGAUGGAAAGAUGAAAAGAACUUUGAAAAGAGAGUGAAAAAGUACGUGAAAUUGUUGAAAGGGAAGGGCAUUUGAUCAGACAUGGUGUUUUGUGCCCUCUGCUCCUUGUGGGUAGGGGAAUCUCGCAUUUCACUGGGCCAGCAUCAGUUUUGGUGGCAGGAUAAAUCCAUAGGAAUGUAGCUUGCCUCGGUAAGUAUUAUAGCCUGUGGGAAUACUGCCAGCUGGGACUGAGGACUGCGACGUAAGUCAAGGAUGCUGGCAUAAUGGUUAUAUGCCGCCCGUCUUGAAACACGGACC